GUUCACUCACCACUUGGACCACCAGGGAUGGAUGGCGGCAGGAUCCCCCCUCCCAGGCAUAAGGUAAGCAGGGAGGGGGGAUAUAAUCAGGGCACAGCAGGGCACAUAACACUCCCAGCACCCUCACACACACACACACUGCACCCUUGACACUCACAGCACCCUCACACACACACUGCACCCCUGACACUCACAGCACACACACACUGCACCCCUGACACUCACAGCACACACACACUGCACCCUUGACACUCACAGCACCCUCACACACACACACUGCACCCCCGACACGCACUGCACCCUCACUCACACACUACACAUCUGACACUCACAGCACACACAAAAUGCACCCCUAACACUCACAGCACCCUCACACACACACAUUGCACCCCUGACACGCACAGCACACAC
This is a non-coding RNA of Pelobates cultripes (western spadefoot toad), 411 nucleotides long. Lineage: Eukaryota; Metazoa; Chordata; Amphibia; Anura; Pelobatidae. The record is from the annotation of a GenBank genome assembly.